This 420-nucleotide ribosomal RNA is filed under the name uncultured soil bacterium. RNAcentral's name for it is "bacterial SSU rRNA". It matches the Rfam family "Bacterial small subunit ribosomal RNA", at positions 26 to 479 of the family's 1533-position model. The record is from RNAcentral.
AGAACGAACGCUGGCGGCAUGCCUAAUACAUGCAAGUCGAACGAACACUUCGGUGUUAGUGGCGCACGGGUGCGUAACGCGUGGGAAUCUGCCCUUGGGUUCGGAAUAACAGUUGGAAACGACUGCUAAUACCGGAUGAUAUCGAAAGAUCAAAGAUUUAUCGCCCAGGGAUGAGCCCGCGUAGGAUUAGCUAGUUGGUGAGGUAAGGCUCACCAAGGCGACGAUCCUUAGCUGGUCUGAGAGGAUGAUCAGCCACACUGGACUGAGACACGCCCAGACUCCUAGGGAGGCAGCAGUGGGGAAUAGUUGCACAAUGGGCGCAAGCCUGGAUGCAGCAACGCCGCGUAGGAGGGACGACGGCCGUUCGGGUUACGUAAACCUUCGUUUUAACGGAGGGUAGAAGACGAAAGUGACGGUACC